This 456-nucleotide ribosomal RNA is filed under the name uncultured bacterium. Its description in RNAcentral is "bacterial SSU rRNA". It matches the Rfam family "Bacterial small subunit ribosomal RNA", at positions 346 to 793 of the family's 1533-position model. The record is from RNAcentral.
AGGCAGCAGUGGGGAAUAUUGCACAAUGGGCGCAAGCCUGAUGCAGCCAUGCCGCGUGUAUGAAGAAGGCCUUCGGGUUGUAAAGUACUUUCAGCAGUGAGGAAGGUGGGUAUGUUAAUAGCAUACUCAUUUGACGUUAGCUGCAGAAGAAGCACCGGCUAACUCCGUGCCAGCAGCCGCGGUAAUACGGAGGGUGCGAGCGUUAAUCGGAAUUACUGGGCGUAAAGCGCAUGCAGGUGGUUUGUUAAGUCAGAUGUGAAAGCCCCGGGGCUCAACCUCGGAAUUGCAUUUGAAACUGGCAAACUAGAGUACUGUAGAGGGGGUAGAAUUUCAGGUGUAGCGGUGAAAAUGCGUAGAGAUCUGAAGGAAUACCGGUGGCGAAGGCGGCCCCCUGGACAGAUACUGACACUCAGAUGCGAAAGCGUGGGGAGCAAACAGGAUUAGAUACCCUGGUAG